Molecule: small RNA, 113 nt
Filed under: Arabidopsis thaliana (thale cress)
Lineage: Eukaryota; Viridiplantae; Streptophyta; Magnoliopsida; Brassicales; Brassicaceae
Description: ATSL152120
Source: RNAcentral
UUUUUUUUUAGUUUUUCUAUUUAUAUAAGAAACAUGUCAAUAUCUAAACGAUAGACUUGACACGUAUCAUGAUCACGCGAGUUCAUAACUUUGAAAACCAUACUUUAUAUAUA